AUUGAACGCUGGCGGAAUGCUUUACACAUGCAAGUCGAACGGCAGCACGGGGGCAACCCUGGUGGCGAGUGGCGAACGGGUGAGUAAUACAUCGGAACGUGCCCGGUCGUGGGGGAUAACGUAGCGUAAGUUACGCUAAUACCGCAUACGAUCUGAGGAUGAAAGCGGGGGACCUUCGGGCCUCGCGCGAUCGGAGCGGCCGAUGUCAGAUUAGGUAGUUGGUGGGGUAAAGGCCUACCAAGCCGACGAUCUGUAGCUGGUCUGAGAGGACGACCAGCCACACUGGGACUGAGACACGGCCCAGACUCCUACGGGAGGCAGCAGUGGGGAAUUUUGGACAAUGGGCGCAAGCCUGAUCCAGCCAUUCCGCGUGCAGGACGAAGGCCUUCGGGUUGUAAACUGCUUUUGUAUGGAACGAAAAGGCUCUGGCUAAUACCUGGGGCCCAUGACGGUACCGUAAGAAUAAGCACCGGCUAACUACGUG
RNAcentral lists this ribosomal RNA (484 nucleotides) under uncultured bacterium. RNAcentral describes it as "partial 16S ribosomal RNA". It matches the Rfam family "Bacterial small subunit ribosomal RNA", at positions 30 to 507 of the family's 1533-position model. The record is from RNAcentral.